This 667-nucleotide ribosomal RNA is filed under the name Vibrionaceae bacterium. Its description in RNAcentral is "bacterial SSU rRNA". It matches the Rfam family "Bacterial small subunit ribosomal RNA", at positions 62 to 707 of the family's 1533-position model. Lineage: Bacteria; Pseudomonadati; Pseudomonadota; Gammaproteobacteria; Vibrionales; Vibrionaceae. The record is from RNAcentral.
UCGAGCGGCAGCGACUUAACUGAACCUUCGGGGAACGUUAAGGGCGGCGAGCGGCGGACGGGUGAGUAAUGCCUGGGAAAUUGCCCUGAUGUGGGGGAUAACCAUUGGAAACGAUGGCUAAUACCGCAUAAUAGCUUCGGCUCACAGAGGGGGACCUUCGGGCCUCUCGCGUCAGGAUAUGCCCAGGUGGGAUUAGCUAGUUGGUGAGGUAAGGGCUCACCAAGGCAACGAUCCCUAGCUGGUCUGACAGGAUGAUCACCCACACUGGAACUGACACACGGUCCAGACUCCUACGGGAGGCACCCGUGGGGAAUAUUGCACAAUGGGCGCAAGCCUGAUGCACCCAUGCCGCGUGUAUGAAUAAGGCCUUCGGGUUGUAAAGUACUUUCAGCAGUGAGGAAGGGGUGUACGUUAAUAGCGUGCAUCUUUGACGUUAGCUGCAUAAGAAGCACCGGCUAACUCCGUGCCAGCAGCCGCGGUAAUACGGAGGGUGCGAGCGUUAAUCGGAAUUACUGGGCGUAAAGCGCAUGCAGGUGGUUUGUUAGCUCACAUGUGAAAGCCCGGGGCUCAACCUCGGAGUUGCAUUUGACACUGGCGCGCUAGAGUACUGUAGGGGGGGGGUACAAUUUCGGGUGUAGCGGUGAAAUGCGUAGAGAUCUGAUGGAAU